AAAAUAUGAUACGGGCUGGAUCUCUCGGGGUUACAGCCUUGCUGAAUUAUUCACCCUUGUCUUUUGCGUACUUCUUGUUUCCUUGGUGGGUUCGCCCACCACUAGGACAAACAUAAACCUUUUGUAAUUGCAAUCAGCGUCAGUAACAAAUUAAUAAUUACAACUUUCAACAACGGAUCUCUUGGUUCUGGCAUCGAUGAAGAACGCAGCGAAAUGCGAUAAGUAGUGUGAAUUGCAGAAUUCAGUGAAUCAUCGAAUCUUUGAACGCACAUUGCGCCCUUUGGUAUUCCAAAGGGCAUGCCUGUUCGAGCGUCAUUUGUACCCUCAAGCUUUGCUUGGUGUUGGGCGUCUUGUCUCUAGCUUUGCUGGAGACUCGCCUUAAAGUAAUUGGCAGCCGGCCUACUGGUUUCGGAGCGCAGCACAAGUCGCACUCUCUAUCAGCAAAGGUCUAGCAUCCAUUAAGCCUUUUUUCAACUUUUGACCUCGGAUCAGGUAGGGAUACCCGCUGAACUUAAGCAUAUCUAGAGGGGGAGGGGGAAA
This 540-nucleotide ribosomal RNA is filed under the name Alternaria carthami. RNAcentral describes it as "eukaryotic LSU rRNA". The stretch from base 162 to 315 matches the Rfam family "5.8S ribosomal RNA". The record is from RNAcentral. Lineage: Eukaryota; Fungi; Ascomycota; Dothideomycetes; Pleosporales; Pleosporaceae.